UCAGAUAAAAACCAUCAAUACCUGAGGUUGUAUCUGGUUCUGGGACGGUGGACACAUCCUUCCGGGGUUCAGCUGUUGUUUCCUGGGGUUCAGCUGUUGUUUCCUGGGGUUCAGCUGUUGUUUCCUGGGGUUCAGCUGUUGUUUCCUGGGGUUCCGCUGUUGUUUUCUGGGGUUCAGUUGUUGUUUCCUGGAGUUUGGGUGUUUCCUGGGGUUCGGGUGUUCUUUCCUGGGAUUCGGAUGUUGUUUCCUGGGGUUCAGCUGCUGUUUGCUGGGGUUCAUGUGUUGUUUCCUGGGGUUCGUGUGUUGUUUCCUGGGGUUCGGCUGCUGUUUCCUGGGGUUCGGCUGUUGUUUCCUGGGGUUCAGCUGUUGUUUCCUGGGGUUCAGCUGUUGUUUCCUGGGGUUCAGCUGUUGUUUC
Molecule: long non-coding RNA, 415 nt
Organism: Amblyraja radiata (thorny skate)
Lineage: Eukaryota; Metazoa; Chordata; Chondrichthyes; Rajiformes; Rajidae
Exons: 3
Source: RefSeq, a predicted model, not a curated record